GACGAACGCUGGCGGCGUGCUUAACACAUGCAAGUCGAGCGGUAAGGCCCUUUCGGGGGUAUACGAGCGGCGAACGGGUGAGUAACACGUGGGUGACCUGCCCUCAGCUCUGGGAUAAGCCUGGGAAACCGGGUCUAAUACCGGAUAUGACUCCAUGACGCAUGUUGUGGGGUGGAAAGCCUUGUGCGGCUGAGGAUGGGCCCGCGGCCUAUCAGCUUGUUGGUGGGGUGAUGGCCUGCCAAGGCGACGACGGGUAGCCGGCCUGAGAGGGCGACCGGCCACACUGGGACUGAGACACGGCCCAGACUCCUACGGGAGGCAGCAGUGGGGAAUCUUGCGCAAUGGGCGAAAGCCUGACGCAGCGACGCCGCGUGAGGGAUGACGGCCUG
Molecule: ribosomal RNA, 389 nt
Filed under: uncultured bacterium
Lineage: Bacteria
Description: bacterial SSU rRNA
Rfam family: Bacterial small subunit ribosomal RNA
Source: RNAcentral